RNAcentral lists this long non-coding RNA (645 nucleotides) under Olea europaea subsp. europaea. The record is from RNAcentral. Lineage: Eukaryota; Viridiplantae; Streptophyta; Magnoliopsida; Lamiales; Oleaceae.
GCUGUUUUGACAUCCAUCUGUUCAAGCUCUAGAUUCAGACUGGCUACUAAUUCAAGGAUAACUCGAAUUGAGGCCAUUUUUACAACAGGUGAAAAAAUCUCGUUAAAGUCAACUCCCUUCUUCUGAAGAAAUUCUUUGACUACCAAACGGACUUUAUGUUUUACCACCUUUCCGCUGCCAUCUUUCUUGAGCUUGAAAACCCAUUUAUUCCUUAAUGUCUUCUUUCCCUUCGGAAGCUCAACUAACUCAUAUGCUUGAUUUUUCUGUAGUAACUCCAUCUCAUCCUGCAUUGCUUGUAUCCACUUGUCUUUGUCCACGAGUUUGUGCUUCCUGAAAGCUCUCUGGCUCUCCUUUGUUAGUGAGCAAAAGGUAGUCUGAUUCUGGAUAUCUUGUUGAUGGAAUCCGUCCUCGUUCAGAUCUUCUUACCUGUGGAUCGUUGAUUUCAGGAGGUGCAUCAUCAUCUGGCUGAUGUGAUGGUCCAACAACUUCUGGUGAAGAGGAUUGUGACUCCCCCUUAUCAAUAUCCCUUUCUUCAUCCUCCUGUUCCGCUUCCGGCAUUUCCUCAUGCACAUCAUCGUUAUCUAUGGUGAAUUGUGUUGGUGCUGGAUCUGGAGCAAUAUUUUGGGCACCAAAAUUGGAAUUAGG